RNAcentral lists this ribosomal RNA (253 nucleotides) under uncultured bacterium. Its description in RNAcentral is "partial 16S ribosomal RNA". It matches the Rfam family "Bacterial small subunit ribosomal RNA", at positions 524 to 776 of the family's 1533-position model. The record is from RNAcentral.
UACGAAGGGGGCUAGCGUUGCUCGGAAUCACUGGGCGUAAAGCGCACGUAGGCGGAUUGUUAAGUCGGGGGUGAAAUCCUGGAGCUCAACUCCAGAACUGCCUUCGAUACUGGCGAUCUUGAGUCCGGGAGAGGUGAGUGGAACUCCGAGUGUAGAGGUGAAAUUCGUAGAUAUUCGGAAGAACACCAGUGGCGAAGGCGGCUCACUGGCCCGGUACUGACGCUGAGGUGCGAAAGCGUGGGGAGCAGACAGG